GAGUCGGACCUGCCCAGUGAAUAACUUUUAACGGCCGCGGUACUCUGACCGUGCAAAGGUAGCAUAAUCAUUUGCCCUAUAACUGAGGGCUAGUAUGAAUGGUUUGACGUGAACAAAACUGUCUCUAUAUAAUUUUGUAGAACUUGAUUUUUAGGUGAAGAAACCUAAAUAUAAUUGAAAGACAAGAAGACCCUAUUGAGCUUUAAAAGAAUAAUUUGAUAAUAAUAUAUAAUUUUAGAUAUUAAUCUAUUUUAAAUUUUGGUUGGGGCGACUAUGGAACAAAUAAAGCUUCUUUAUUUUUGUAAAACUCUCGGGUUUUGAUCCAGAAAUUUUGAUUAAUGGAAUUAGUUACCAUAGGGAUAACAGCAUAAUUCUCUUUGAGAGUUCAUAUCGAAAAGAGAGUUUGUGACCUCGAUGUUGGACUAGAGUAUCCUAAAGAUGUAGCAGUCUUUAAGGGUUGGUC
Molecule: ribosomal RNA, 463 nt
Filed under: Zoila eludens
Lineage: Eukaryota; Metazoa; Mollusca; Gastropoda; Littorinimorpha; Cypraeidae
Description: partial 16S large subunit ribosomal RNA
Rfam family: Bacterial large subunit ribosomal RNA
Source: RNAcentral